Aethalodelphis obliquidens (Pacific white-sided dolphin) is the source of this 8827-nucleotide long non-coding RNA. RefSeq lists it as uncharacterized. Lineage: Eukaryota; Metazoa; Chordata; Mammalia; Artiodactyla; Delphinidae. The transcript is spliced from 3 exons. The record is from RefSeq and is a predicted model, not a curated record.
CAGGGGAACUAAGAUCCCACAUGCUGCGCAGCGCAGCCAGAAAACAAACAUACAAAAAUAAAACAAAAAAACCAUUCUUGGAUAAUUAUGAUCUCAAAUGAGUUAUUUAAGGAAACAAACAUGACAAAAUAUUUCUUAUAUCUAUGAAGUGUUUCUCAGAAGGAUGAAAGUUGUUAUAAUUUUCAUAAUAGUUAUUUUCUGUCAUUAUGAUCAUAAAUAGAAUUUAUGUGUUUGCAUGAGGGGCAAUAAAUACUGGAGAGGCAGGCUGACUCUUAGGAAAAUAUAUGUGUAGAUUGCAAACCCCUUGAAAGCAGAGACCUCAUUCAUCUCACUCCCUAUCCUCAGAGCCUGAAGUUCAUCCUGAUAAAUGUUGUUAAUCAAUAAAUACUUGCGGAAUGUAUAACAAAUUAAUAUGUAUCACGUUUUCUGAUCUCACUGGAGAAUCUCAGUGGAGAAUCCACAACCUACAAAUGUGCUGAAUUCCAAAAGCAUUUUGAGGCAUAUUGUUUGCAACUUAAAAUAUAUUUCUCCACAGAAAAAGCCAUUAUGGAUGGUACAGGGGUUGGCAGGCCAGCUCAUGAAAGUCACUUCAUCUACAAUGUAGCAGAAACAGUAUACAUUUGAAAUGAACAAGUAACAGAAAAAGAAAUACUGCAGCAAUAAAACCAAGAUAGAAAUAAUAAAAUUGAAUAAAACCUUAAAAUUUUCUUGUCCCUCAGUGCUUGAAGAGAAGCAGAUUUAAGUAUGAGAAGAAGAGAUGUAUGGAAACUGUCAUGGAGACGCUUGUAUUCUCGAGGAAUUUAGAAGCUGAUGGCUUUUUAAAAAUUAUGUAGAAUUCCCCUUCAAAACAUAAUUCCGCUUAUCCAUGAUAAAAGUCUUUGAAUAACACUAUUUUAACUCUCACGAGCUAAGAUGAAAGUGCCUUUUAAAAUUCAAAAAUAGAAUGGUGAAAAGAGGAAAAGAAACAAACAUGAAGAAAAAUCAAGUAAACGGAACAGCAACAACAGAGAGGAGAAUAUGGUAAUACGAAUUAAUGUAGUCCCCUCUGUGCCCAGGAACUGAGGAUAAAAAAAGGCAUGAAACACAGUCCCUGCCCUCAAGAAACUUCAAGCGUAGUAAGAACUGGAGUUAUUUAUGCUCUGAGCGAUAAACUUGGGGACUGUCAAUCAGCACACUGAAAGAAUCUGUAAAUGAGAUGCACGCAUCCCUGUUGGAGAUCAUCCAGGAAUGAUGGAGGACAGGAUAGCUGUCAGAAGACUGGCUUCCUUUGUUCGCUUGCACCUUCCUUCCUCUUUUUCCUUUCUUCCUUCCCUUCUUAACCUUCCAUUCCCCUUCCUCUCUUUCCUACCUUCCAUUCUUCCCACGUAUUGAUGAUUUGUUCUGUGCUAAGUGUCAGGGAUAUCCUUAAGGAGACAUGUCCCCCACCUUUAACAAUCUCGUGGGGAAAAGAAGACAUCAGACAUCAUUAGAGUAUAAUGUAUUAAAUACAAAAAUAAAUGUCUAUAAAAGUGUUUUAAAGUACAGAGAAGGAAGACCUUAACUUGUCCCAUAGGGGUUAGGAGGGCCUCACAGAAAAAUAAAUAUGAAUUUGCCAGGUGGACAAGGCAGUAUUUUAGGGAGAAGAAAAGUACGUAUAAAACCAUGGAUUUGGGGAAAAAUAUGAUCAUUGCUAUCACAACAGUCACAAAAACAACUAACAUGUGUGAUGCACUUACUAUGUGCCAGGCACCAUGUUAUAAGCUUUUCAUAAAGUAACGCUUUUAAUCUUUACAACCGCCCUAAAGGGUAAGUAUUAUUCUGUUCUUCUGAUGAGGAUAUCAGAUCCCAGAUGGUUAAGAAAUUUGCCCCAAAGAAGAACUGGUGUAUGUUUACGGAGUUGGAACCGCUUCAGUGUGUUGGUGUGUGAAGGAUGUGGUGGAAAAUGUCAAGAGGUGGGGUUCGAAAGAUCUCCUGGCGUGUGUGUAAUAAACACUAAGCUGUAUUACAGAAAAGGACUCAGGUUCAUUCUUAAGCAGAACAAAUUUGUCCAUCUAUUCCUCUGUCUGUGCAUCUACUCAUUUAUUAAAUAUAUAUACAUAGAGGAUUUUAAACAGCACACAGAAAUCAUAAAUUGAGUGAGUAAAAAUGAGAGUGAAAGAAGAGAAAAGAUGAGGGAGAGGUUAGGAAUAAGGCUAACUGAGCAGACAUCGGUGAACCUUGGCAGACACUAGAGCUAUUUUACAUCUCUGUGUGGACGUUAAAAAAACAAUUUAGGAGAGAAAGCCAAGCUACCCCCUGAGUGAGCCGAAAUUGUACCCACUGGAAAGGCCAGGAUAUUUCAAAAGAAUGAUUUUGGAGUCAUUUAAUCAGAUGGACAGAUGGGUCAUAGAGGCCAUAAUGUCCUAUUUCUUAUAGCAUAGUGGGUAUGAUUUUCGUGUGAAAAGUUUUUUUUUUCUUUUUUUAAAGGAGAUAUAACCAGAUGCCACCUUCAUCAAAACACAAUCUUAAUAAAGUACUCAUGUAACGCCUGCCUUUAAUAAUUCUACUGCCUGAAUAUUUGCCAAGAUGACUUAUUUGUGACAUUUAUACCAAUCCAAAUAAAUAAGUUAACUUACUGGUUGGCUUGUUAUUUUUAAACACCACCUAACAAAUACACUAACUUUGGUUUUAGAAUGGUUGACAUGUAACCUUUCCUUUUGGCAGUGAUUAGCUAUCAGGGGCAGUUGCCUGUUCAGGCUGUUCUGAGUUUGCAAGACUUAAAUUGCAUUAGCCAAAUAGUUUCUGUUAUAAGGUAGUUUUAAUUGAGUAUAUCCAGACAUGCUUCUAAGAUUGUUUAGAAAGAAGUUCAAAAGAAGAGGGUAACACAAACUAUGAAAAAAUAAAGUGCUGUGUUAAAAGAUCAUCCUGAGUAACACUAACUCUUGUGUCAGUAACCUAUUUCUGUGUACAUAUAGGGAUAGGGUGAGGAGAGUGGUAUAUGUUGAGCUCCUAUUUCUUGACCCAUAACUAAUUCCUGUCCACAGAGGCAAAAGUUGAUAAAAGCUGCACGUAAUCUGAAAGUGCUUCUGGUAGAUACCGCAUGAAGUGGUGAAUGGCAGGACAGUGUGGUGGCUGUUUGUAGCACAAUAGCUAAGUUUAAAGGCCUGCGUAACUACGGCCAAUAAUUGGUCAGGCAUGUGGGUUGUGUAUGAUUUGGGUGAACAGUCCAGCAGUCUAAUAAGUGUAUGAUUUGGGGGAACAGAGGGGAUCCUUUCUGAAAAUAGAAUGAACGGUAGAGUCGCACCAGGAGCUAUCAACACUAUGCCCAGAGUCAAUAGACAUGUAAAACAAGCUAUUGAAGAGGAAAGAUCUCAGUUCUGAAAAGUCAUUGAAUAGCUUUCAGGGCAAAAUGUCUUAACCAGGGCUUUUAUUGGUUUAUAUUUUCAGUUGGCUGUACAGGAUGAGGCCCUGAUUGACAAAAGUUGAGGCAGUUAACUGUCUUGUAAGGUGGUGAGAACUGAGCCUCCUGCCUAUCAGUUGAGCCUCUAUAAAUAUUUUCCCCACUCAUUUCAUACCUAUAACUCUGUCUAGAAUUUAUCCAUAUUGUCUAAUGAAAUCUAAUGGCAUGGCUCUGGUCCUGUUACAGGUUUUAUUAGAACUAAGGUUUUCCUGAGGUAAUACAAUUGUGUUAAAUAAGCUUUAAAAGAUUUAAAUUUUACAACGCCAUGGCCUCUUGUUUGGUUUUUGUCAUUGUAAGCUUCUCAGCAAAUCUUGUCAAGUGAGGUACUAAAAAAGUGAAAAGUAGAAUGUGCAUUUUCUGUUAAAUUUUAUUUUUCAGGUAAAAUUGGUUUUCAAAUCUGCUAAUUGGUGAAAAGAGAUCCACUUCUCUCUCAAGUUACAGAAGCAGAAAUUCAACUGGUCCUUAUUAAUGAAAGAUCUUCAGUGAAGGUUGAAAGCCCUUCAGAUCAAUCAUACCAGACUUUGAGCUCCUCUGGCCUCUGUGGUUCUAUCAUCUGUGCUCAUGGUUCACAGGUGUGCAGGACAGCUAUGUCCAGGACUAACCGAGGACAAAAAUGGUUACUUAACCACCCAGAUAGUUCACUGGAAAUAAAUAUGGAAAUUUCCUAAGAGGCUGAAUACUGAUGAGGUUGUGACUGAAUUUAGAAUUCUCUUCUGGACACAAUUCCUUGGGUGAUAUAGGAUCCUAAAUUUAUUUGUUUUACCUUUGUAUUUUGGAAAAGUUAAAACUUAUAAAAGUUGAUAAAUUAGUAUCCUGUGUGCCCAUCACCUAGCUUCAAGAAUUAUUAAUUUACAGGGCAGAAUAAUGGCCCCCGCAAGAUGUCCAUGUCCUAAAGCCUGGAACUUGUUGAUAUGUUGGGUUAUGUGAUAAGCAAGAAUUAUGGUUACGCAUGGAAUUAAGGUUGCUCAUCAGUUGACACUGAGAUGGGGGAGAUUAUCCUGAUUCUCCAGGUGGGAACAAUCUAAUCACAUGCAUCUUUGUAAGUGCAAGAAGGAGGCACUAGAGAGAGACCCAGAUAGAUGGCCAUGUGAGAAGGUAUUGGCUGAUGCUGUUCAAGAGAGAUGGAGGAAUGGGGCCUUGAGCCAAGGAAUGUGGCUAGCCUAUAAAAGCUGAAAAAGGCAAGGAAACAGAUUCUCCCCUAGAGCAGCCUGAAGGACUGGAGGCCUGUCAACACCUUGAUUUUAGCCUAGUGAGACCUAAUUCAGAUUUCUUACCUACAGAACCAUAAGAUAAUAAAUUUGUGUUGUUUUAGGCCACUGAGUUUGAGGUAAUUUUUUGUAGCAGCUAUAGAAAACAGAUUUCUAAAAAAAAAAAAAAGGGAGGGAGAGCGAAAGCCUGUCAAAAUGUGAAGGGAAUAAAAUAAUCCUUAAGGUUAGCACUAAAAAUUUCUUUGAAUGUAUUUUACAAACCUAGCAAAGAAAGACUUUUAUUUGUUGGCUUUGACUACAAAAGGAAUGGAUAUAAAUCUGAAUAUCUAUAAAAGAGAUUUGAAUAUAUAUACAAAAGUUUAAAUAGAUAUUUAAAUUGCUAAUAUGAUUAGUUUUAUUAAUCACUUGAAUGAUUUAAGCCCAUUACUCUCAUCUUUUGGUGCCAUUUUUGUUAAACUACUUAUUUCCAUUACGUAAAUUGCAAAUUAGAUAAUCUGGCUUACUUAAAUAUAUGUAUUAUGGUACUCUUGAUGGUUUUCCUUUAUAUACUAUUUAUCUAAUUUCAGCAAAAAGGCAGAUAUUGGAGAGAUAAAAACUCAUUAUUUUAUAGAAGCUAGUGAAAUUGUUUAUACUUAUUAAGAUAUGGUACUUUCAAUAAAACCAACUUAAAAUCUAUGAUCAUUUUCUUCAAAAUAAUUCUCUAAAUUCCUAUUUAUAUUCAUAGGUUCUUUUUUUCUAAGCCUGAUAAAGUAUUUAAGUUGAAUCCAAAAACCAACCAACCAAUCACUCAACUAACUCUGCAAACAUAAGUAAAAACAAAAAGAUAAACAAAACAAAGCAUUUAAGUUUAUAAGCACUUUUGAAAAGUGAUGCAAAUGGCUUGAAUGAACUUUCUCAUAUAUCUAGUUUUUAUCUUGCUAAUGUUAAAGGACAAAAGAUCAAUGUCUAGAUUUACUGAAGUCAUGUAUCCUAAUGGACUAUUUCUUUCUUUUACGUUUAGACACUUUCCCCCUCAAAGAUAUUAGCCAUAUGAUUCACAAUCUGCAGUGAGGUUUUACUAAAUGUUAUUAUUGGAGAUAUAUUCAACUGUAUGUUUGAGAUGGAUAGAUUAUAUUCCUUUGGAAAGUUGCAGGAGAAAUUCUGUGGUAGCAUAUACUUGUUUUGAAAGUAUAAACUAGAAAUACACACUAAUAAUUUUGAGCAUAUGGCGCAAACUUUAACACACAGACACAACAUAUGCACAUCAAACUCCAAAAUCUCAGAAAUACAUAUAUUUAACAUUUCCACUUAAUACUUAAUACAUCAUCUCAUUCUUCCUAGACACUAUGAGAAACUGAAAUGUACAAAAUUAAGGGUCGUCUCUAAAGCUGUUGUGAUGUAUAAACCUGGUUAGGCUGUGGUGCCCAGUUAUUUGGUUGUUAUGAAAAUAGUUUUUAGAUGUGAUUAACAUUUACAAUCAGUAGACUUUGAAUAAAGCAGAUUAUCCUCCAUAAUCUGGGUGGGCCUCAUCUAACUCGUUGAAGGUCUUAAGAGCAAAGAUGGAGGAUUCUUGAGGAAAAAGCAAUUCUUCCUCAAGACUGCAGCAUAGAAACACUGCCCAAGUUUCCCACCUGCUGGCCUGCAUUGCAGAUUUUGGGCUCAAGGCUGCAACAUCAACUCUUCUUUGAGUUUCUAGCCUGCUGGUCUGCCCUAUGGAUUUUAGACUUUCUAGGCCCCUAAAUUGUAUAAGUCAAUUCCUUAAAGUCUCUGUCUCUCUGUCUCUCUCUAGAUAGGUAGGUAGAUAGACAGACAGAUAGAUAGACAGACAGACAGAUAGAUAGAUCCAUCUCCUAUUGGUUCUGUUCCUCUCAGACAGACCCUGCCUAAAUAGCUAUCAUUGCCCAAACACCUUGCAAAUAAGACAUUAACCUUGAUUACUUCUGAAAAAAAGUAAUUCUGUAUUCUCAUUUUGGGUACCUUUCACUUGCUUUAUUUAAAUUGAUCCAAAAUAUUUUAUUCCUUUUAGCUCAAAUUGAUAACAAAAACUUUAAAAGCUCAAAAGAACUUCUUUCUACCCAAUAUUCCUGUCAUUGAGUUUCUUUCUCCACCUCCACCCAACUCCUCACUACUUUCCUAUCCAGUCCAUGAAUUAUCCCUAACACAUACUUCAUUUUUCUAAAAUACAAGAUCAUUGAAGAACUUUUUAGACACUCUAACAUAGUUUUUAAAUUUUUUGGUUUAAGUCUCUUUUCUGUGACUAUCACUACUAUGUUCUGGUUUUUACGUAUUCUCCCUGGUGACUUUUCUAUAAAUUUAUGUUUAGCCAACAGUUAAAAUAAUGUGUGCUUGGAUAAUAGUUGAAAAAGCUCAAAGACUCUGGAUCAAUUACCAUAAGGCUGUCUUAAAGAAGACUUGCUUUGUCUACCUUAAUAUAAGACCCUUUACUGGUGUUUAAGAUAAAGCUCUGUCUUCAUUUUCUUCUUUAGAUUCAGAGUAAUUCUGACCAGAACUCUAAAACGAAUUGCAAAUGAUCAGUUAAUUAAAGCAAUGCAGUCCACACCAGGAGGACUGAGUUCCUUUCUAAGCUGAUAAAAUAUUUAAAAAUGCAUAUUAAUAUGGGACUUUUUCCAGGUAAAGAUACAAAAUUCAAAACUACAACAAAAUUAGUCUUCUGCUGUUGCUUAAGAGGGAUUUAGCCCCUGUGCAAUUUAUGACUCAGAUUAUCUUCUUAAACAAUGUUACCCAAAUAAACCUUCCUUGAAAUCAGUGGUACUGGUAUUCAAACAUUUUUCCUUUACAUGGAGUUAACUGUAUCCUCUAUCAUCUGACUGAACCAACUAAUGUCAUUUCUCUUAAAGACAUCAACAGCUCAAGGAAAAACAAAGUUUUCUCUCCAGGGCUGGGGGAGGAAUUUUGCUUUGCACUUGAAAAUGUUUUCUCUGUUCCAAGAAGAUAUUAGGAUCAGUUGACUGACAACAGGAAAAAUUUUCCUGGCAGAGAAGGAAGCCAGAGGAGAUUCACAUGCAGACAAAAUAUUAACUAUCAGGCUGUUUGUAUCCCCAUAUCUACUCUAAUAUGCCAAGCUGGGAUAAAUCAAAUGGGCUCUAAAAAUGGUAGAUAAAAAUGUGAUUUCACAAUAAUUCUGGAGUUUUGCAGAAUAUUCAUCUUAAGCAUUUAUUUUUCUCCAAAGAGUUAUUUAUUACCGGGUAAAGCUAUAUAGUUAUUCCAAUAUACGCACUACUCUAGGAAAAAAAAAAUCCUUAAAAACUCUGCAUUUUAAAAGUGCUAUAAAGAUACAACUGAAGACAGAGUUGUAAAAACACAACUAGCUGAAGUGCUAGUGUGAGUUAAAAGAGACUGGGACCCAGACAGAGGUGCCUGAAAUUUGAAACAAGGAGGGAAACCAGGUCAGAUGAUGUAGUGUAGUACUUGGUGAUGUGUCCACUUUCCAGCUGGAUAUCCCUCUUCAGGCGUGGCUGGGACUGAAGGGUCCUUCCUCAGGGUAUGGGGAAUGUGUAUAUACAACUUGUCUCUAUCAUGAGACCCUCAGGUUUGGUAAUCUCUAAGCGAAGUGGGAAUUGGACUCACAGCAUAAAUGCAAAGAGGACUAAGGACACAUGAAAGCAAUGUUGGGGUAAAUUCACAAGGCAAAUGCUUCAGAGACCUCAGGACAGACUUUCCUAGUCAGCGUUUCAUAGCAACUUCAUAAUCAUUCAGUUUUCCCUGGUUUCAAAGUGUGAUCCUUGUGAGGAUUAGCAGAACAAUAAUUUAAUCUAGGCUGUAAUUUAUAUUCUAAAAAUCCCUCAAAGAAAGGAGGAAAUUCUGAUCUCUGAGAGUAAAGGUGGGGCAGACACUGGACAGACUCUUCUCUCCUACUGCUAGACUCUCUUGAUCCUCUUACCGUUUCCUUUAUUGCCUUUGGGGACCUAACCUGGGUGCGCGCGCGCGCACACACACACACACACACGCACACACACACCCCCACGCCCCGGUCUAAGACUUCCAUAUUUGAUCUUCUAAGGUAACCGUCUUCCCUUUGUUAGUAUGAGCCCUGGGCUUUUUUCUUACUAUGCUAUUUCACAGGCAAAAUGAAGGGUAUAAAGGAACAUUCAAAAUGAAGGCACCCAAGGUUGAUUCAUGGCCUGCUAAACUUGUCUACAUUCAAAUUUAUUUAUUUAUAUAAAAAAAUUAAUUAAUUUAUUUGGCUGCACUGGGUCUUUGU